This 499-nucleotide ribosomal RNA is filed under the name uncultured bacterium. RNAcentral describes it as "partial 16S ribosomal RNA". It matches the Rfam family "Bacterial small subunit ribosomal RNA", at positions 28 to 507 of the family's 1533-position model. The record is from RNAcentral.
GAUGAACGCUGGCGGCGUGCCUAAUACAUGCAAGUCGAGCGAACAGACGAGAGUGCUUGCACUCUCUGACGUUAGCGGCGGACGGGUGAGUAACACGUGGGUAACCUACCUAUAAGACUGGGAUAACUUCGGGAAACCGGAGCUAAUACCGGAUAAUAUUUAGCUUCGCAUGACGCAAUAGUGAAAGACGGUUCUGCUGUCACUUAUAGAUGGACCCGCGGUGUAUUAGCUAGUUGGUGAGGUAACGGCUCACCAAGGCAACGAUACAUAGCCGACCUGAGAGGGUGAUCGGCCACACUGGGACUGAGACACGGCCCAGACUCCUACGGGAGGCAGCAGUAGGGAAUCUUCCGCAAUGGACGAAAGUCUGACGGAGCAAUGCCGCGUGAGUGAAGAAGGUGUUCGGAUCGUAAAACUCUGUUGUAAGGGAAGAACAAGUACGUUAGUAACUGAACGUACCUUGACGGUACCUUACCAGAAAGCCACGGCUAACUACGUG